CUACUCUUGGGUUUGCCGCCUGACUGGUAUUUUACCAGCACAGCCAGUAUUUGAGGCUGCCUGGCCAUGACGGUAUUGCAGUAAUAACGGCAAUACAAAUGCCGAUAUUUUUCUCAGUAUAAACGGAGAUUACUCUGCAAUACCAGCACAAGCCAAUAGGGGUCACUGUGUGUGGAGAGAGGCAGGGAUAGGAAGUUACAUCAUAUCCCUCCCUGCUUUUCUCUACUCACUGAUCCGCAGGGGGAGCAGCUACACAGAGAGUUCAGACAGCAGCUCCCAGCCUGCAGCUCAGGGAAGUGAAGGAUGGGGCGAGGGGGGAAAGGAAGACAUAGGGACAUUGGGAGACACAUUGGGACAUGGAGACACUAGUGUCUCCAUGUCUCCCAGUCAGUGUUUCAGUGUCCCCUAGUCUCCCAGUGUCUGUGUCCCCAUGUCUCUCAAUGUCCCCAUGGCCCCCAGUGUCCCCAUGUCUCCCAGUGUCCCCAAAUGUCUGUGUCCCCAUGUCUCCCAGCCAGUGUUUCAGUGAACCCUUGACUCUCAGUGCCCCUAUUGUCCCCAUGUCUCCCAGUGUCCCCAAGUGUCUCAAUCUCCCCAUGCCUCCCAGCCAGAUUCCCUAGUGUUCCAGCGUCCCCAUGUCUCCCAGUGUCUGUGUUCCCAUGUCUCAGUGUCCCUAGUGUCCCCAAAUGUCUCAGUGUCCCCAUGUGUCCUAGAGUCUGUGUCCCCAUGUCUCCCAGUGUCUCCCAUGUCUGUAUCCACAAGUGCCCCCAUGUGUCUCAGUGCCCCCAUGACUCCCAGUGUCCCCAAGUGUCUCAGUGUCCCCUAGUAUCGUAGUGACACGGGAAACACAGACAUGGGGACACGGGGAGAAAUGAGGACACAGGGAGAAAUGAGGACACUGAGACACUUGGAGACUAGGGGACUGGGCGACAUGGGGACACUGACACUGUGAUACAUAGGGACACUGAUGCCAGGCUGUCCUUCAAUUCUUUGGACAGACAUGCCCCCUUUUUGGGCAUGUUCGCCCCUUUUGGCAGUUCUGGUCACGUGAUUUGCGUCAGUGGCCCACCCUUUUACCCUGACCAUUGACUUCCUGCUUCACUAGACACUGCUGUUAGUUGGUAUGGAUUUACUUGAAAGAUGAAAGCAUAAAUUAGAGAGAGAUUAGCAUAGAGUAUGUGUUUUCUUAUAGCUGCAUCCUUUGAGUUUCCCUCCAACACCAUCUCCAUCAGAUACAUGACGCUUGGGAGGUAUGACUGUUUUAUUGUUUUUGGUCAAUAAGAUUCUGUAAUUAGGCCCCAUCAUAAUUGUCAGCACCAGGCCCACUGGGCUCUUAAUCUGGCCCUGCAAGGUAGGUGCAAGUUGCUCUGUCAAAUGAGAUUGAAGGGAACGCCAGUUUCAAAUUCACCUCUUCUUUAAUGCAUAAAAUUAUCAUUAAAA
Molecule: non-coding RNA, 1437 nt
Organism: Pelobates cultripes (western spadefoot toad)
Lineage: Eukaryota; Metazoa; Chordata; Amphibia; Anura; Pelobatidae
Source: the annotation of a GenBank genome assembly